UCGGUCAUAGCUCAAUGGUUAGAGCACGGGUCUGAUACACCCGCGACCACGGUUCAACUCCGUGUGACCGUACCA
Molecule: transfer RNA, 75 nt
Filed under: Streptomyces phage FlowerPower
Lineage: Duplodnaviria; Heunggongvirae; Uroviricota; Caudoviricetes
Also listed under: 4 other names
Description: tRNA-Ile
Rfam family: tRNA
About the family: Transfer RNA (tRNA) molecules are approximately 80 nucleotides in length. Their secondary structure includes four short double-helical elements and three loops (D, anti-codon, and T loops).
Source: RNAcentral